AUUGAACGCUGGCGGCGUGCUUAACACAUGCAAGUCGUGCGGUAACAGGCGUAGCAAUACGUGCUGACGAGCGGCGAACGGGUGCGUAAUACAUGGGAAUCUGCCCUUUAGUGGGGAAUAACCCGGCGAAAGCCGGGCUAAUGCCGCAUAAGAUCUUCGGAUGAAAGCGGGGGAUCGUAAGACCUCGCGCUGAUGGAUGAGCCCAUGUCGGAUUAGCUAGNGGUGAGGUAACGGCUCACCAAGGCGACGAUCCGUAGCUGGUCUGAGAGGACGGCCAGCCACACUGGGACUGAGACACGGCCCAGACUCCUACGGGAGGCAGCAGUGGGGAAUAUUGGACAAUGGGGGAAACCCUGAUCCAGCGACGCCGCGUGUGUGAAGAAGGCCUGCGGGUUGU
Molecule: ribosomal RNA, 397 nt
Filed under: uncultured bacterium
Lineage: Bacteria
Description: bacterial SSU rRNA
Rfam family: Bacterial small subunit ribosomal RNA
Source: RNAcentral